Molecule: long non-coding RNA, 1157 nt
Organism: Dermochelys coriacea (leatherback sea turtle)
Lineage: Eukaryota; Metazoa; Chordata; Testudines; Dermochelyidae
Exons: 3
Source: RefSeq, a predicted model, not a curated record
UUUUCCUGUUAUUUCUGUCAGUGUUACCUUAUAAAAUAAAAAUACUUGGCACUCAGGUAUUGUGAUUUUCAUCUUCAACUACUUGGCAAGAAAUCUUUAAUCAAGCCUCAUAUUAGCAUGGCAAGCAUUGGAUAUGGAAAGCGGAUGAUAUGUGAACACUUUCCAACACAAGACAGCAUUGGAGUUUUGAUUAGGUAACAAAAUUGAAAAAGGCCUAGAAAUCAGAAGGGUAAAUAAAUGUCAAGACAAAUGUGGACUUCACAGUGAUCAAUGAAGCAAAAAGAUGGACUGAAUAUGAACAAAGAAAUCUCUGGAGAGCAAAGAAAAAUGAGAAGGACCCAGAUCCUGUGCUCAGAUCAAUUGGAACUUUGCAGAUGCUGGCCCUAUGGCUUUACAUGCUGACUGCUUGGGGGUGUCUGCUCUCUCCUGGGGAUCUAUGUAAUGACAUAAUAGUUACAGGCCAAACCCUCCAGGCCUUAAUUCAACAAAAUUCCCAUUAACUCCAGCAGGAAUUUUACCUUUUUAAGGACUAGAGAAUUUAGCUCCAUAUUACAUAGCAUGUAGGUGGGAUGGCACCUGUGGGUUGCAAAGCUGACUUGGCUUUUACAUAUGGCACGUGCUGCCAGCAGUGCAGGGGGGUUGCAUCUUUCAGCAUGGUUUGGGAUUUAGUGGAUUGAAAAGGGAGAUGCAUAAAGUCAGGCUGACCUUGAGGAAUUUACAUAUAUAUCCUGAGCUUGGGAUCACAUCUCAAACUAUACCCAAUGAAGAACCGUAGCCCCCCCGGUUGUGAUAUGUGCAGUUACUAAAUGGUAUGCUAGUUGUUUUAAAAUACCCACACAUCCAACCCAUCCCAUACCCUGCCUUGCAUCUUGUACCUUGCAAGUCCUUAUACCAAAUGCCCCUUAGAUUUGAACGUAUUGUGUCAUAGCAUUCUUCAGCACACAACUCGGUGUGCUGGACCAUAUUGUCAUUUAUUUAGCCAAAUCCUAACAUUUUUCUGCUGAUGCUUGACCCGUCUUUUUACCCGUUCAGGGCAAUUACUCACUCAGCUUCGGAUUCUGUAGGGUGCUAAGCACCCGCAACACCCAUUGACUAGAAGGCUCUAGGGCAUUCAGCCUAGCUGAAGAUACUUGGUAUGCUGCAGGACGUGGCCUUUG